RNAcentral lists this ribosomal RNA (497 nucleotides) under uncultured bacterium. RNAcentral describes it as "partial 16S ribosomal RNA". It matches the Rfam family "Bacterial small subunit ribosomal RNA", at positions 28 to 507 of the family's 1533-position model. The record is from RNAcentral.
GAUGAACGCUGGCGGCGUGCCUAAUACAUGCAAGUCGAGCGAACAGACGAGGAGCUUGCUCCUCUGACGUUAGCGGCGGACGGGUGAGUAACACGUGGAUAACCUACCUAUAAGACUGGGAUAACUUCGGGAAACCGGAGCUAAUACCGGAUAAUAUAUUGAACCGCAUGGUUCAAUAGUGAAAGACGGUUUUGCUGUCACUUAUAGAUGGAUCCGCGCCGCAUUAGCUAGUUGGUGAGGUAACGGCUUACCAAGGCAACGAUGCGUAGCCGACCUGAGCGGGUGGACGGCCAGACUGGAACUGAGGAACGGUCCAGACUCCUACGGGAGGCAGCAGUAGGGAAUCUUCCGCAAUGGGCGAAAGCUUGACGGAGCAACGCCGCGUGAGUGAUGAAGGUCUUCGGAUCGUAAAACUCUGUUAUUAGGGAAGAACAAAUGUGUAAGUAACUAUGCACGUCUUGACGGUACCUAAUCAGAAAGCCACGGCUAACUACGUG